UUAAAUGCACAGAUAGGGAAGAGUAGCUUCCGAACCCUUUUCAGAGAGAGGAAUCCAUUGGCUGGGAGGUUCCUUAGGAUGUACGAGGUGAAGGUCGCCCUGGAGCAGCUUUACUGAACACAAGUAAGUAAGGUCGGCGAAAAGCCGUUAUCAUGUCGAGUGUGCCAAUGGUGAUGAUUCCAUAGGCAAACAAAGGUGGUACCGCGAGUAAACUCUCUUCGUCCUUUGA
Molecule: non-coding RNA, 229 nt
Filed under: Halalkalibacterium halodurans
Lineage: Bacteria; Bacillati; Bacillota; Bacilli; Caryophanales; Bacillaceae
Description: Bacillus halodurans T-box sequence
Rfam family: T-box leader
About the family: Uncharged tRNA acts as the effector for transcription antitermination of genes in the T-box leader family. T-boxes are found upstream of many aminoacyl-tRNA synthetase genes and some amino acid biosynthetic genes usually in Gram-positive bacteria.
Source: RNAcentral